UGGGGAAUAUUGGGCAAUGGGGGAAACCCUGACCCAGCAACGCCGCGUGGAGGAAGAAGGUUUUCGGAUCGUAAACUCCUGUCCUCAGGGAAGAGCAGAAGACGGUACCUGAGGAGGAAGCCCCGGCUAACUACGUGCCAGCAGCCGCGGUAAUACGUAGGGGGCAAGCGUUGUCCGGAAUGAUUGGGCGUAAAGGGCGCGUAGGCGGCUCGGUAAGUCUGGAGUGAAAGUCCUGCCUUCAAGGUGGGAAUUGCUUUGGAUACUGUCGGGCUUGAGUGCAGGAGAGGUAAGUGGAAUUCCCAGUGUAGCGGUGAAAUGCGUAGAUAUUAGGAGGAACACCAGUGGCGAAGGCGGCUUACUGGACUGUAACUGACGUUGAGGCUCGAAAGCGUGGGGAGCAAACAGGAUUAGAUACCCUGGUAGU
RNAcentral lists this ribosomal RNA (424 nucleotides) under uncultured bacterium. RNAcentral describes it as "bacterial SSU rRNA". It matches the Rfam family "Bacterial small subunit ribosomal RNA", at positions 355 to 794 of the family's 1533-position model. The record is from RNAcentral.